RNAcentral lists this long non-coding RNA (238 nucleotides) under Pan troglodytes (chimpanzee). RNAcentral's name for it is "long non-coding RNA NONPTRT010201". The record is from RNAcentral. Lineage: Eukaryota; Metazoa; Chordata; Mammalia; Primates; Hominidae.
GAUGCUCACCGGGCGUGGUGGCUUAUGCCUGUAAUCCCAGCACUUUGGGAGGCCGAGGUGGGUGAAUCACGAGGUCAGGAGAUCGAGACCAUCCUGGCUAACGUGGUGGUGGGCGCCUGUAGUCUCAGCUACUCGGGAGGCUGAGGAGAAUGACGGAGAGUAUAGGCUAUCUUAAACCUAGAUGGCUUAUUUUCCUCUGGAGGUAGGUUUGAGCUUCUGGAAUAGAAGGGACUCCAUC